UACGAAGGGGACUAGCGUUGUUCGGAAUUACUGGGCGUAAAGCGCACGUAGGCGGAUUUGUAAGUCAGGGGUGAAAUCCCGGGGCUCAACCUCGGAACUGCCUUUGAUACUGCAAAUCUCGAGUCCGGAAGAGGUGAGUGGAAUUCCUAGUGUAGAGGUGAAAUUCGUAGAUAUUAGGAAGAACACCAGUGGCGAAGGCGGCUCACUGGUCCGGUACUGACGCUGAGGUGCGAAAGCGUGGGGAGCAAACAGG
RNAcentral lists this ribosomal RNA (253 nucleotides) under uncultured bacterium. Its description in RNAcentral is "partial 16S ribosomal RNA". It matches the Rfam family "Bacterial small subunit ribosomal RNA", at positions 524 to 776 of the family's 1533-position model. The record is from RNAcentral.